This is a small nuclear RNA of Hyla sarda, 189 nucleotides long. RefSeq annotates it as U2 spliceosomal RNA. Lineage: Eukaryota; Metazoa; Chordata; Amphibia; Anura; Hylidae. The record is from RefSeq and is a predicted model, not a curated record. The transcript has a single exon.
CUCUCUUCUUGGGCUUUUUGAGUAGGAUCAAGUGUAGUAUCUGUUCUUAGUUUCUCAUUUGAUAUGUCCCAUAUAAGGGGACCUUAUAUUAGAUGGAUUUUGGAGGACGGGGGGCGAUUCCUAAGCCUGCUUCCAUCACAUUAUGCGUGUGACUGAUAGGGCAGUUUCUGCAGGUUCAGCGCAUUCCAC